GCAUCUUUAGUUUAAGAAAAACGGUUCAAUUUCGUUGAGAUAAUGGGGUCACUCCAAGAAGUG
RNAcentral lists this transfer RNA (63 nucleotides) under Hoplopleura akanezumi. RNAcentral's name for it is "tRNA-Glu". Lineage: Eukaryota; Metazoa; Arthropoda; Insecta; Psocodea; Hoplopleuridae. The record is from RNAcentral.